GGUUGAUUAGUGUAGUUGGUUAUCACAUCGGAUUUUGAUCAUGACACAAUUUCCGGGGACCCGGGUUCGAAUCCCAGAUCGACCU
This 85-nucleotide transfer RNA is filed under the name Erysiphe necator (grape powdery mildew). It matches the Rfam family "tRNA". From Rfam's summary of the family: Transfer RNA (tRNA) molecules are approximately 80 nucleotides in length. Their secondary structure includes four short double-helical elements and three loops (D, anti-codon, and T loops). Further hydrogen bonds mediate the characteristic L-shaped molecular structure. tRNAs have two regions of fundamental functional importance: the anti-codon, which is responsible for specific mRNA codon recognition, and the 3' end, to which the tRNAs corresponding amino acid is attached (by aminoacyl-tRNA synthetases). tRNAs cope with the degeneracy of the genetic code in two manners: having more than one tRNA (with a specific anti-codon) for a particular amino acid; and 'wobble' base-pairing, i.e. permitting non-standard base-pairing at the 3rd anti-codon position. Lineage: Eukaryota; Fungi; Ascomycota; Leotiomycetes; Helotiales; Erysiphaceae. The record is from Rfam by way of RNAcentral.